GGGGGGGCAAGCGUUUGUUCGGAAUUACUGGGCGUAAAGGGCGCGCAGGCGGCCCGGCCAGUCCCUUGUGAAAUCCCACGGCUCAACUGUGGAACUGCAGGGGAUACUGCCAGGCUUGAGUCCGGGAGAGGGUAGUGGAAUUCCCAGUGUAGCGGUGAAAUGCGUAGAUAUUGGGAGGAACACCGGUGGCGAAGGCGGCUACCUGGACCGGUACUGACGCUGAGGCGCGAAAGCUAGGGGAGCAAACGGGAUUAGAUACCCCGGUAGUCCUAGCUGUAAACGUUGAGCACUUGGUGUGGCGGGUAUCGACCCCCUGCUGUGCCGAAGCUAACGCAUUAAGUGCUCCGCCUGGGGAGUACGGUCGCAAGGCUG
Molecule: ribosomal RNA, 372 nt
Filed under: uncultured organism
Description: partial 16S ribosomal RNA
Rfam family: Bacterial small subunit ribosomal RNA
Source: RNAcentral